RNAcentral lists this long non-coding RNA (1890 nucleotides) under Homo sapiens (human). RNAcentral's name for it is "HSALNT0229309". The record is from RNAcentral. Lineage: Eukaryota; Metazoa; Chordata; Mammalia; Primates; Hominidae.
GACAGUUGGCCAGAUGAUGGAGGGAGGCUGGGAGGGGGUGUUGCUGAUGGUUGGCCUGGUGGUGGAGGGAGGCUGGAGUCCAGGCUGCCUGACUCCUGUGGCCCCUGUGGCACCCACUCCCCCUGCCCCCCAGGGUGGGAAGUGUGGGCUCCACCUCCCCCACCUGCUAGGGAAUAGAUUCCUUCCCACGAUGUGCAGCAGGACCUGGCCCUCCGUGGCCUGAAGUCUCGCUGGAGGACAGGGAGGUGGGGUCUCAUGAUGGAUUGGCUGGGUGAGAAUAGAGGUUGGAGAGGGAGGGAGGGUGUGACUCUGUGAGGGUGGGGAUGGGUGGGACUUGGGGCUCUAUGAUGUGUCUGAGAGCUGGGGCUUUGCCCAGACGUUCAUGUGUGGAAGCGGCAUUUGUCAUCAAAUUGUCCAGAAUCAGGAACCAGCACCUCCUCCUGCGCUAAGUAUCAUGAUGACUGGGCAGGCCCAAAUGGGGUGGUUGCUGAUGUGGACUACAGCGCCUGGCAGGGAGAGAUUGGCUCACCUGGACGUGAGGGCAGGCGUUGACUGGCUUGUUGCCAGGCCUGGGGAAGUGGGGAGCUGUGGGUUGAUGUCUGUUUCUGAGACUUCCAUAGGAAUCACCUGGGCAGGGGCUGGGCCGGGGUGAGCAGGGCGUGCAUGAUGUGUGCUUGUGUGGCAGGCCCUCGUCCAUGUCAGUCACAGCCUCCCGACUGCAGCGAGCUCUGCUCCAGAGUUCAGAAAGGAGAGAAUAGAAAUGCCGAUGGCUCUUCUGCAGAAAGGAAUUAGCAUCCAAUUAUGCCUGGGCUAUAUAUACCACCUCACCUGCCUGCUAGGGAAGGCCAGGAGUGCUGUCUGUGCCUGAGACUGUGAAAGGGCUUUUUCCUUUGGAGAUGGAGGGGUUGAAGGGAUAGGAUUUGUUGCCUGUGAACCCCACCCUUGGACAGAAGAACACAGGUAGGACUUAGGAGCGCAGAGGAAAGGCCAAUGGGGAGUAAGCUGGGCUGGGAUGGAGUUUUUUUUUUUUUUUUUGAGACAGAGUCUCGCUCUGUCGCCAGGCUGGAGCGCGGUGGCGCUGCAACCUCCACCUCCCGGGUUCAAGUGAUUUUCCCACCUCAGCCUCCCGAGUAGUUACAGGCAUGCGCCAUCACGCCCAGCUAAUUUUUGUAUUUUUAGUAGAGAUGGGAUUUCACCAUGUUGGCCAGGAUGGUCUGAAUCUCUACCUUCCACCGUAGAUGUCUCCCAGACGGACCUCGUGAUCCACCUGCCUCGGCCUCCCAAAGUGCUGGGAUUACAGAUGUGAGCCACCGCACCUGGCCUUUUUUUUUUUUUUUUUUAAGAGACAAGGUCUCACUCUGUCACCCAGGCUGGAGUGCAGUGAUGCAGUCAUGGCUCACUGCAGUCUUGACUUACAGCUUUUAGUGAUCCUCCCACCUCAGCCUCUCGAGUAGCUGGGACUACAGAUGUGCAUCACCAUGCCUGGCUAGUUCUGUUUAUUUUUUGUAGAGAUGGGAUCUCACUGUGUUGCCCAGGCUGGUCUCAAACUCCUGGGCUCAAGCGAUCCAAAGUGCUGAGACUACAGGCUUUUGAGACGCCAUGGCUGGUCAAAUGGAGGAUGUUCUUUCCAGGACUGAUAGCAUGGCCCAGGGGUGUGGGUUGUAGUGAGCCCUAAUUCUUAGAGGUGUGCGAGCUGGUCUUUGACCUGACCUAAUUCUUAAAGUUUUUAUUUAUUUGUUUAUUUUUUUGGGACAGAGUCUUGGCCUGUGGCCCAGGCUGGAGUGCAGUCGUGCCAUCUUGGCUCACUGCAACCUCCGCCUCCUGGGUUCAAGUGAUUCUCCUGCCUCAGCCUCCCAAGUAGCUGGGAUUACACAGGUGCAUGCUCCCACA